AGACGACUCUCGGCAACGGAUAUCUCGGCUCUCGCAUCGAUGAAGAACGUAGCGAAAUGCGAUACUUGGUGUGAAUUGCAGAAUCCCGUGAACCAUCGAGUCUUUGAACGCAAGUUGCGCCCGAGGCCACUCGGCCGAGGGCACGCCUGCCUGGGCGUCACGCCACCCCAUCGCCCCCGCCGCGGCGUUCCCACGCCCGGCCGGGGAGCGGAGACUGGCCGUCCGUGCCCGAGUCCUCGGCGCGCGGUCGGCAGAAAAGGAGGACACCGUGCGGCGCGACGCGGCGUGUGGGGGGUUGAGAUGCGAUUCGUCGCCGAUCGUACGCCGCGCCCGCAUUCCGCCGCGCGCGGUGUCGCCCGUGGGACCGGACCCGCCCGCAGCCGCGGGCGCUCGGACCGCGACCCCAGGUCAGGCGCGGCCACCCGCUGAAUUUAAGCAUAUCAAUAAGCGGAGGAGAAGAAACUUACGAGGAUUCCCCUAGUAACGGCGAGCGAACCGGGAGCAGCCC
RNAcentral lists this ribosomal RNA (508 nucleotides) under Actinodaphne obovata. Its description in RNAcentral is "eukaryotic LSU rRNA". The stretch from base 5 to 160 matches the Rfam family "5.8S ribosomal RNA". The record is from RNAcentral. Lineage: Eukaryota; Viridiplantae; Streptophyta; Magnoliopsida; Laurales; Lauraceae.